Molecule: transfer RNA, 65 nt
Filed under: Staphylinoidea sp. 12 KM-2017
Lineage: Eukaryota; Metazoa; Arthropoda; Insecta; Coleoptera
Description: tRNA-Trp
Source: RNAcentral
AAGGAUUUAAGUUAUAUAAACUAGUUGCCUUCAAAGCACCAAUAAAAGGUCUCCUUUAAGCCUUA